This 301-nucleotide ribosomal RNA is filed under the name uncultured bacterium. Its description in RNAcentral is "partial 16S ribosomal RNA". It matches the Rfam family "Bacterial small subunit ribosomal RNA", at positions 509 to 807 of the family's 1533-position model. The record is from RNAcentral.
CAGUAGCCACGGUAAUACGUAGGGUGCAAGCGUUAAUCGGAAUUACUGGGCGUAAAGCGUGCGCAGGCGGUUAUAUAAGACAGAUGUGAAAUCCCCGGGCUCAACCUGGGAACUGCAUUUGUGACUGUAUAGCUAGAGUACGGCAGAGGGGGAUGGAAUUCCGCGUGUAGCAGUGAAAUGCGUAGAUAUGCGUAGGAACACCGAUGGCGAAGGCAAUCCCCUGGGCCUGUACUGACGCUCAUGCACGAAAGCGUGGGGAGCAAACAGGAUUAGAUACCCGUGUAGUCCCUGUCUCUUAUAC